Mesocricetus auratus (golden hamster) is the source of this 1275-nucleotide long non-coding RNA. RefSeq lists it as uncharacterized. The transcript has 3 exons. The record is from RefSeq and is a predicted model, not a curated record. NCBI's taxonomy places the organism in Eukaryota, Metazoa, Chordata, Mammalia, Rodentia, Cricetidae.
GUGUUUUGGUGGGGAUGGGCCAGUGGGGUAGUUUAUCGCCACCACCUGGAAGAACUGGAGGGGGUAAAUUAGUCACCAUUUGAUCUAGAUCUCGAGGGAAGCAGGUGAAUUCAGUUAGGUAAAAAUGGGGCAAGGAAGAGAUUGCAGCCCGUCGAAUAAGAGAGAAGCUGGACGACAGGACUGGAGUUGACAUGUAGCAGGGACAUUAGGGAAUCCCGGGAAAGAUGAACAAUAGAUGCUGCUGUCAGUUGUUGGCUCUGAACUCCUGGUUUUCCCCGGAAAGAGUUUUCUAGGCUUGCUUGGUGAAAGGAAGGGAUCCCGGGAAGACCACCAGCAAGCUAUGGAAGAAGGUACAUGUCCAGUCUGUCUCCCACUUCCGAUGUCCUAAUGAACGAAUGUCAUGAGCAGUUCUCCAUGCUCCUCUUGCUGAGCAAAUGAAGUUGCGUAUUCGAGAAAGAUAAGGUGGCUAAAACGAAGACUCUUAGAAAAAGCGUCUCAAGAAAGCAGGCAGGAUAGAAGAACCUGGAAUAACCAAAAGCGUCUAAGUGACACACUCAACUGAAAAUGACCAUCCUGCCAGGCUGAGACGCAUUCCUUCUAUGUCCCAUAAAGGGAGCAUGCAGUGUGUAGGUGUCACCAAGCCCCAUUCCUGUGACUAGUUGGACGUUGCAAUGGAUCAUGGUACUUUUAUUGCUGAAAUUAGCAUGUUUGGAAGGAGGAAGGACACGCUGUUCUCACCUCACAGUGAAGUGGAGGUGAGCAGUGGCUUGCGUCAGAUUCCCCGGAGACAUGAUCGCCAACAGUUUACUUGUCCAUCGUGAUGCUGAGACACUUCUUGUAAAUCGUUUUUCUUGUCUGUAGUUAAUGACUACACUCUUGAUUCCUGCUUAUCUAUUUGAAAGGGAAGAAGAUCAGGGCAUGGCCUCCAAUGGUAGAUGAUACAAAAAUACCUCGGAUUUGGCCAUGGAAUAUGUUUUUGUACUUGCGCUGGAACCUGGGUGUGUCUAGAAAUUUAUAGCAUUCCAGUCCAACAGAAGAAACUAUGCAAGGGGACCCAGGGUGGGGACUGUCUCAGUGCUCUGAAUUUCUCUCUCUUGUCUCCUAGCCAACCCCCAGCCCCUCUCACCCCUCCCCUUGGAGGUCAGGCCAGAUGUGUUAUCUGGUUGGUCUGUUAAAAACAGCUGGCAUAACCCGCGCACCCCCACCACCUAAAAUCAUCCAUUUUCCUGAGAGUGGGAGAAGUUGGUAUCUUACAUUAAAAUAUGUUACUCAUUU